GCGCCCCUAGCUCAAUUGGAUAGAGCAUCUGACUACGGAUCAGAAGGUUGGAGGUUCAAAUCCUCCGGGGCGCGCCA
This 77-nucleotide transfer RNA is filed under the name bacterium. Its description in RNAcentral is "tRNA-Arg". It matches the Rfam family "tRNA". From Rfam's summary of the family: Transfer RNA (tRNA) molecules are approximately 80 nucleotides in length. Their secondary structure includes four short double-helical elements and three loops (D, anti-codon, and T loops). Further hydrogen bonds mediate the characteristic L-shaped molecular structure. tRNAs have two regions of fundamental functional importance: the anti-codon, which is responsible for specific mRNA codon recognition, and the 3' end, to which the tRNAs corresponding amino acid is attached (by aminoacyl-tRNA synthetases). tRNAs cope with the degeneracy of the genetic code in two manners: having more than one tRNA (with a specific anti-codon) for a particular amino acid; and 'wobble' base-pairing, i.e. permitting non-standard base-pairing at the 3rd anti-codon position. The record is from RNAcentral.